UACAAGUUUCCAGCCUAGGGUUCAGCCAGCC
Molecule: non-coding RNA, 31 nt
Filed under: Mus musculus (house mouse)
Lineage: Eukaryota; Metazoa; Chordata; Mammalia; Rodentia; Muridae
Source: RNAcentral